AUUGAACGCUGGCGGCAGGCCUAACACAUGCAAGUCGAGCGGAUGAAGGGAGCUUGCUCCUGGAUUCAGCGGCGGACGGGUGAGUAAUGCCUAGGAAUCUGCCUGGUAGUGGGGAUAACGUCCGGAAACGGGCGCUAAUACCGCCUACGUCCUUAGGGAGGAAGUGGGGGGUCUUCGGGCCUCCCGCUCUCAGGUGAGCCUAGGUCGGAUUAGCUAGUUGGUGGGGUAAAGGCCUACCAAGGCGACGAUCCGUAACUGGUCUGAGAGGAUGAUCAGUCACACUGGAACUGAGACACGGUCCAGACUCCUACGGGAGGCAGCAGUGGGGAAUAUUGGACAAUGGGCGAAAGCCUGAUCCAGCCAUGCCGCGUGUGUGAAGAAGGUCUUCGGAUUGUAAAGCACUUUAAGUUGGGAGGAAGGGCAGUAAGUUAAUACCUUGCUGUUUUGACGUUACCAACAGAAUAAGCACCGGCUAACUUCGUG
Molecule: ribosomal RNA, 483 nt
Filed under: uncultured bacterium
Lineage: Bacteria
Description: partial 16S ribosomal RNA
Rfam family: Bacterial small subunit ribosomal RNA
Source: RNAcentral